Molecule: ribosomal RNA, 252 nt
Filed under: uncultured bacterium
Lineage: Bacteria
Description: partial 16S ribosomal RNA
Rfam family: Bacterial small subunit ribosomal RNA
Source: RNAcentral
UACGUAGGUCCCGAGCGUUGUCCGGAUUUAUUGGGCGUAAAGCGAGCGCAGGUGGUUUAUUAAGUCUGGUGUAAAAGGCAGUGGCUCAACCAUUGUAUGCAUUGGAAACUGGUAGACUUGAGUGCAGGAGAGGAGAGUGGAAUUCCAUGUGUAGCGGUGAUAUGCGUAGAUAUAUGGAGGAACACCGGUGGCGAAAGCGGCUCUCUGGCCUGUAACUGACACUGAGGCUCGAAAGCGUGGGGAGCAAACAGG